RNAcentral lists this small nuclear RNA (124 nucleotides) under Bemisia tabaci. RNAcentral describes it as "U11 spliceosomal RNA". It matches the Rfam family "U11 spliceosomal RNA". The record is from RNAcentral. Lineage: Eukaryota; Metazoa; Arthropoda; Insecta; Hemiptera; Aleyrodidae.
UAAAAGGGUGCUUGCUUCAUGGCAUAUAGGGUCUUUGGCCCUGUAGAGUAUGGCUAUCAAGACAUACUCAGCACAUAAUUUUGGACUGAGAGGCAGUUAGGUGUCUAAGAACUCUGGCGCCUCU